RNAcentral lists this ribosomal RNA (428 nucleotides) under uncultured bacterium. Its description in RNAcentral is "bacterial SSU rRNA". It matches the Rfam family "Bacterial small subunit ribosomal RNA", at positions 355 to 796 of the family's 1533-position model. The record is from RNAcentral.
ACGAGAAUAUUCCGCAAUGGACGAAAGUCUGACGGAGCGACACUGCGUGAUGGAUGAAGUGCUUCGGUACGUAAACAUCUUUUAUCGGGGAAGAAGUCUAUUGACGGUACCCGGUGAAUAAGGGGCUCCUAACUCUGUGCCAGCAGGAGCGGUAAUACAGAGGCCCCAAGCGUUAUCCGGAAUCACUGGGCGUAAAGGGUGUCCAGGUGGCCAUAUUAGUCUUUCGUAAAAUCCGUGGGCUUAACCUACGGCGCGCGAGAGAAACGGUAUGGCUCGAGGGCGCGAGAGGUGCAUGGAACUCAUGGUGGAGGGGUGAAAUCCGUUGAUAUCAUGGGGAACACCAAAGGCGAAGGCAGUGCACUGGCGCGUUCCUGACACUCACACACGAAAGCCAGGGGAGCGAACGGGAUUAGAUACCCCCGUAGUCC